RNAcentral lists this ribosomal RNA (506 nucleotides) under uncultured bacterium. Its description in RNAcentral is "partial 16S ribosomal RNA". It matches the Rfam family "Bacterial small subunit ribosomal RNA", at positions 28 to 523 of the family's 1533-position model. The record is from RNAcentral.
GAUGAACGCUAGCUACAGGCUUAACACAUGCAAGUCGAGGGGUAACGAGAGGGAAGCUUGCUUUCCUUGUCGACGACCGGCGCACGGGUGAGUAACGCGUAUCCAACCUGCCCCCAACUAGGGAAUAACCUUGCGAAAGUAAGACUAAUACCCUAUAAUUUCCUCAGAUGUCAUCUGACGAGGAAUAAAGAUUUAUCGGUUGUGGAUGGGGAUGCGUCUGAUUAGCUUGUUGGCGGGGUAACGGCCCACCAAGGCAACGAUCAGUAGGGGUUAUGAGGGGAAGGUCCCCCACAAUGGAACUGAGACCAGGUCCAAACUCCUACAGGAGGCCGCAGUGGGGAAUAUUGGUCAAUGGGCGGAAGCCUGACCCAGCCAAGUGGCGUGCAGGAUGACGGCCCUAUGGGUUGUAAACUGCUUUUAUACAGGAAUAAAGUUAGCCACGUGUGGUUAUUUGUAGGUACUGUAUGAAUAAGGACCGGCUAAUUCCGUGCCAGCCGCCGCGGUAA